CGAAAGAAGUGAAGGGGAGCUGAAUUAUGCAAAUGUAGGUUGCGGCAGCAGGACUCGGGUUACGGCCCCCGCCGGCCUCCGAGGUGAGGCACCCACCUCAGCAAGCGCGGGCGAGGCGACUGCUAGCGCUUCGCUCCUCUCCACGCACAUGGGCGGGCAGGCGGGCGAGUCUCCGGGGCCGCCCCGCGGCGGGUGCUGUUGGCAACCCCGCCGGCGGCCACCUCCCGCCACCCGGAGGGGGAGCUCCUGGACGCCCGAGUGCCGAGCGAGCCGGGCGCAGAGGACACAACGCAAGCUGGGGCAGCCUGGGCGAGGGAGAAACGCGGGUCUUUGGCUGCUACCCUUCCAGAAGGAGAAGGCUGAGUAGGGUCAGAUAGGGCAGGGGACGCCACCGAGGAGAGGCGGGCUUGCCAGGUCCGUCUGAAAGCACGUUGGAGUAAAUGGGAGGGACUGACCCUCUAGAAUGAUUCGGAGCUUUCCAGCAUCUCACACCUCCCUUAAGAGCUGCGCCACCUCAAGCCCGCGGUGCGCCGGGGGUGAGUUGGGGGCAGGGGCGACCAACAGCGUCUGGAAGGCUAUGCGGGCUCCCAGGAGAGUGCCUGGAGCCAGUGCUGGGAGGCCAUCCCUGAAACUCCGCUGUAAACGAGUGAAGAAGUAUGGCUUUUCCAGUACAAACACAUCAUGUCAAGCCUGCAGAUCACUUUUCGAAUGCUGGCAAAAUAUAAAAGAUGAGAGAAGUAAGGCUCAGAGAGGAUACAGAGCUUACCCAAAUUCACACAAUUUGGAAGUUGCAGAGACAGAAUAUGAAAUCUAUUCUCUCAAUUGGAAAAGCCCACAUCUUUCAAGUACAUCAUGUGACACAUAGCACCCACAGCAGAUAAGAAUGAGGAAACUGAGUCACCAAAGCCCAAGCCAUGGAGCUACCUAAGUGGAAGUGCCAAGAUGUGAACCCAAGCAAUCUGACUCUGUUGCCUGUGCUCCCAGUACCUUCCCUAGCCUGUGAAACCAGACAAGCCACUUAACCUCUCUAAGCCUCAUUUUCUUCAUCUUUACAAUGGGGUUGGGCAUGUCUCCUUCAACUGCUCUUGGCCAGAAUAUCAUGGUGAAUCAAAGAAACAGGAUCAAGAAUACAUUCUGAAAAGCAGAGUACCAUCUGCAGGUCUGGUCACUAUCUCCCAGAGCCUUUGUUUGGGUUGCAGGACUUUCAGCACAGAAGUGGAUGCGGACUGGGAUAAGACAGGAGGCAAUGUUUAUGAUUCGAGAUCAGGGACAAGACAUCCAUGAUUGAACUUUCUAGCCUGUUUGCUUGCUGACCAAUCCGAAGGCCCUUCACAGUGGCUUUUUAUCCCCCCACCCACUGAGGAUGCUCCAGAUCUGUGUACUGCUCUUGGUUCUGAGACGGGGUUGGGGAAGGUACCCAGGGGGACUGGGAGCCUUUGGAAUGAGUCUUUGGCAGGUCUGUUUUUUCCUGGUGCUAAUAACAAUCCUAGACACAUGUUCACUCCUUCUUGGAUCCUAAUAAUUAGCUAGAAUGCAUCUUUCUGCUCAAGGGCUGUUGUGCCUGAGAAAAUAUUGUGAUCGCCAUUGAUAAUAGAACAGUUUCAAUCAAUGGCCUUGUGAGAGCACAAUCAGAGCCUCCCCAGAGACCUGGCACCUCCCAGCAUUUUAGAAUUAGAAAGUUUGCUUUUUAAAAAUAUGAUUAUUUAGGAUACAGACUGUGGAAACUCCAGAGAAAGGAAAACUAGAUCCUUUCUUUUUUUCUGUUUGUAUUUUAUAAACAAGAGACACCAAAGACAUGACUGAAAUGACCAUUUUAGCGUCUUCUGUUUUGUUCUGUUGAUCAGAAAUUUAGAGACGGACAAUGUAUUAACAAGACACUUAUUUUCUUGCUUUUCCUGCGUUUCAGGCUUUCCAUCACAAAGCUGUUUCAUGUAAUGGCAACUUGAGUGGAAUGUAACAACAAAAAAAAUGGAAAAUGGUAUCUGGAAGCCCAAUAUGUAUAUCUGUAUUAGGUAAAAGCUGUUGGUUUCAGUGGAACUGGAGUGGGCUUGACUCCUUCCACUCCAUGCAAAUUCCCCAGGAUCUAACAUCCACUGCUGUGACUUAUGGAGCCAGUCCACAACAUGCUAGGGCUGGGGCUACUUCGCUAGGUGAACGAGAGAGCAAGUGAAACAUAGACGUGGGCCUGUCUCACUUCCAAAUGCUGGGACAAGCUUGCGGUGUUUGUUAAUCUAUAUGCCAGGUACUGUGUGAGAUGCUUGAGAUGCAUCAGUAAAUAUGACUCCUUGUCUUCAUGUAGCUUAUAACCUGGAAGUUCUUGUGUUUUUAAUUCCAAGAACCAAAAGAGAGAAAAACUCAGUUUGUAAUACCUUCCCUUGUCUUUAGCCAGAAUCACAUUUAAGCCACCCAAACUCAGGUACAAAUCUCUCAUAAGGCCUUUAGAGAAAGAAUAUCAAACUUGCUUUGGUAACAUAUUCUAGUGUUUAACACACUUAUAAGACAUUCUUCAGAGAUGGAAAGCACCCCCUUUAUAUUCUGCAUUUUAUUUUGUUUUCUCCUCAGGAAAAAUGAAAGUAGUCAUGAAGUUCAGAGUAAGAACCAGUCAUAAGCUGGAAUAUAUAGUCCUUACCCUUUUCUGUUUAACACAGAAAAAUUUGAGUUCCUGUAGCCUGCUCUCAGAACUUUGCCUUUUGAUCCUUUCACCAUCCAUGUCAACUCUUUGAUGAGCUUCCUAAUUUCCCACACUUCCCAGUGCAUGUAAAGCCUCAUAAGACAUUUUAUGUGCCACACCACCCUUUCCAAGUCCUUUCACACCUUUGAGACUUGAAAUAUAACCCCGUGAUGGUGGCAAGGCCACGGUCGCCUUCCCCACUGCCCGCAGAAGCCAGGUGAGACCCAGAGAGGCCAAGUUACUUACCUAAGUUCACAGAGCUAGUAAGGAGGCAGAGCCAGCAUUCCCAGACAGGUCACCAGGUGCUGAUGUUGAGACCUCUGUGUAGUUCUAGCUUCACUCAUUGGUUGGGAAGCCUCACGCAUGUGAAAGCUUGUGACAUCCCUAACACGCUUGGAUGGCUGGUGGCCAGUUAAUAUUUAGGUCAUAUGAUUGCUUCCAUAGGUGUGCGCAGGCCCUGUUCUGCACCCUCGUGUCAUCUUACCCCCAACAGGAAAGACUGGAAGCAUACUUCAACAGUAACAACUGACCAACCAGAUUCUAGCCUUCCAGGUCAUCAAAGGUGGUUCAAGGCCACCAGCCCCAAGUCCAUCCUUAUGGUCCUCAUUUGUCCCAUUUCUGUGAGGCUAGCACUGACUCACUGGUCACCGCCCUCCGGGUUAUCAGUCUGUGGUGCAAUCAGAAGAUACUCGUGUGUGGGGUAGCUGCAAUGUGGUUGGGUCUACCCUACUGGGAUGACCAGCCUGACCAGGGGGUGGAGACAAAUUCAUCAGCUUCAUCAACAGAAGGCCUUGAUGGAUUUGUUUUAUCUAAACUUAGCUAACCUAUGUCACAGUCUGCUCAAAGAUGGUCACCAUAGUAUUUUCAGGUGAAAUCUUUUGUGAUUAUGGCUAACAUUUGGCCAAUUUUAACUUGUUUCUCUAAUGGGUAACACACCUCCCCCCAUUUCAUUCCUGCCCAGAGGGUUGCUAGAGGAUGAUUAAUACAAUGGAAGAAGGUGACGUGCAGACCCAAGAACCGGCCAGGAAUUGUGCUGGUCCAUCUUCAGAUCUGACUCAUCAGAAUCCCAGUCCCAAUAAUCUGUAUUGAAAUAGCACCAACAAAGAAAAUAACCUUUUAAAAAGUUAAAUUUGUUGCUGAGCUGACUGCCAAUUACAGUUUUAAAAAUCCACACUCCUUACCAUGGCCUACAAGUCUUUACAUGCCCUGGCUUACCCCUCUCCUCCACCAACAACUCUGUCCUCUUUCUCCCUGAUUACUUAACUAUCUCAAGCUCAUUCCCAUCCCAGAGCCCGUGUGCUCAGUACUCCCUUUGUCUACAAUGGAUCCUGCCCCAACCCUUUAAUCAUCCCCAGGCUAGUCCUUCUGCAAUAGACCAAAUGUUUGUGUUACCCCCAAAUUCAUUUGUUGAACUCUAAUGCCCAGUGUGAUGUAUUUGGAAGUGGGACCUUUGGGAGGGGAUUAGGUCAUGAGGGUGGUGUCUUCAAAAAUGAGAUUACUGCCCAUAUAAAAGAGGCUCCAGAGAGCUCCCUUGCCUCUUCCACCAUGUGAGGACACAGUGAAAAGACAGCCAUCUGUGAACCAGAAAAUGGGUUCUCACCAGACCCUGAAUCUGCUAGCAUCUUGACUGUGGACUUCACAGCUUCCAGAACUGUGAAAAAUAAAUUUCUUUUGUUUAUUAGCUACCCAGUUUAUGGUAUGAUGUUAUAGCUGCCCAAGCAGACACUUUCUCAUUCAGCUCUGAGCACAAGCCUUCCCUUCCCAACCCUCCUCACUCCUCCCUCAUUACUCUGUCCAUUUCUGUGCACUGUUCUUGGUGCUUGGCAUACAUGAGGGUAAGGCCCAUAGCCACCUUAACCAUCACUGUAUGCAAACCCCAAGAAUAGUGCUAACAUAGAGGAGUAUGCAGUAAACAUUUGCUGAAUGAAUGGAAUGCAUGAGAAAUGGUCAGCCCGGUUUGGGCUCCACUGCCUUAAUAAGGUUCCUUUCCCUCCCUGGCUCCCAGUUCCCUAUUUUUAAAAUAGAAGUAUUAGUUUAUGUAGCAUCUAAGGCCCCAAUACAGCUUUGGCAGCCUAUGAGCUGGCCCUGAGGACCCGUGGGGAGUCCAACGGGCGGCAACCUGAGCAUCACCCCAAGCUGCUCUAUGCUUUUGUAAAUAAUGGUAGCAUCUGGAGUCACAAUAAAGCAAAACAGAUUAGCGCCAUGGAAGAGGCCUCUGUCCUUCCAAAGAGAAACAACUCAGGCUUUGCUUUUUCCUAGGAAGAGGUCAGAUAAUUCUGAUAGGAAUUGUUGUCUACAAAAUCUCAUUGAUUGAAUCUUGUUUCCUUGCUCGUGCUAAGGCAUUUGCAAACAAAUGUAGCAAAUCAAUUUCCAGACAUAUACUUGAGUUAUGCUUAGAAGGUAGACUUAACUGAAUCUGAAAAUCCAGGGGUCUCUUUUUACAUUUAUAAAUAAAGUGAUUUAUUGUUUUUCAAUCUUUAGGUAAGACCCAAGGAUUCCAUUAAUUCUUUGAAAGGGAUGUUCCACUUAAAAUGAUACAGAAUAUAAUGGAAAAGAGACAGUUAGUAAAAGGAAAAGAAAUGAUUUUUCUACCUAAUUAGAGUACAGACACCUAAAGUAAUUUGUAUUCUUUGGUCUAAGGCAUUUAGGGCUGCAUAUCGUUUUUGAAUGAAUUCUGCUAAAUUUCAGUAAAUACCAUUGUUAUCAAAUUUGGCUUUGAAUACACUAAUAGCACUUCUGUAGGCUUAUUUUAAUUUCAAUGAUGUAUUUUAAUUUAGGCUAUAGAAAUGAAACUACAAUUUAUAUAAUUUUUAGAAAAUCAAAAAUAAGUUGACCAAGAAUAGGUUGGCUUAAUUGGGGCCUGGUUGUUUAAAAACACACACAAAUCUAUGUGUGAGGUAAAGAGAAAAUGGAUGUACAAAGAAAGAAGUCAAUUUUUUUAUUGUCAUGUUCCAAAAGAAUAAUAGAUUUCACAUGUAAAUUGUAACUGACAGUUAUAUCAAUGUCACCUGGUAGAAUUGGGGGGCCAGUGCUGAAAAAAUAAUCCACUAAGUAUUUUGGAGGCCUAGCAGGUGGUAGGCCCCUUGCCAGAGGUUAUAGGGAAUGAAAGAUGAAUCAGACAGAGUCUCUGCCUCUUGGAACCAGUAGUCCAAGAAAGAGGUAAGGCAAGUGCAUAAAUAAAUAGAAUACAUGAAAGGCACUAUCAGAAAUGUUCAAAAAUGUUGUUAUGGGGUCCCAAGAAGGGGGAGACCUAUCACAGGUAUGGUAGGUGGGAAUCAGAUAAGGCAAAGCACAUUAAGGUUACUCAUUUUUCAGAUUCAGCUGGAGCCAUGUCAGUCAUAGAUCAGUACCCCUCUCUACCUUGCACCUAAUACAGUGGCAUGGCUGUGGGAAAUGACCAAUAAACAUUGAUAAAUUAACUAAUUUGUUGAUAUGCAAUAAAAGACAAAGGAACCAUAUUCCAAAUGUAUGCAAUAGCAGCCAAUUGGUGGAAUUAAUGGAUCCCGGGGACUUACUUGAAGACUGGUAAAAAAAUGUUUGGCUACAUAGUUGCAAAUGCACAAAUGUACGUUCUGUAUGUACUUAUCACCUUUUGUUUUCUGGGCAAACAUUAUUGAACCCAGUCAAGAAAGAAGAAAUACACAUUUUUGUGCAACCUACUCAAAAAUGAAGGAGGCUACAUUCAGAAGCAGCUAAAUGUUCUUUUUCCAUCAAAAUGCUCUGAUAAUUAUUUCACAUACACCUCACCAAAAAGUGGUUAUGUGACUCUGUGAAGGGAGAAGUUGGGCCCCAAGUUGUGCCAGCUUGGUUUUAUAUAAUAGGCAGAAAUGAAAGUUCAGCCUUGUGCAGAGGGCUGUCAGUCUAGAGGACCCUUCAGGAUAUGGCAGGUUCCUAAACAGAGAAUUUCCCCACCCACCUUAAGCCCUUGCCCCUGGCCCCUUCACAGUUGCUCCGCCAUUGACUGAUAAACUUAGGUCUGGGUGCUCUGUGCAGGCAGCUCCUCUGGCAUCCAAGGCCCCUGCUAGAAAUGAACCAUGAGAAACAAUCAGCCUGUGAAUUUUAGUUUGUCACCUCUUCUUGCACCUCCACAGGGCUCCUGGAACUGAGAACUCACUUGAGCUACAGUCACUAAGUUUGCAGAGCCGGGGAAAGCCCAUUUCGUAGCGGGUGUCCCUUUGCAUUAGACUGGGGUGCCAGAAAUCAGGAACUGGGGGCACACACAGGGCCUUAGCACCUACUCUGCCCCUGCCUUGUACGUAGCUUCUCCCUUAGUGAGAACCUGGGGAAGUCUACAAUGAAAGUCUCUUGAUAAGGCAGUUGAUAGGAAAGACAGAAACCUGUGCCUGGCUCUGGCCCACAAAGUUUCUACUUGGAGUAGAUUUUCAGAACAGAAAAUUGAUUAUUUAAACUUCCAUGAAUUAAAAAAAAAGAAUGGACUUCAGUUGGUUCUGUCUCAGUGAUUUUAAUUAACUUUCAGAAAUCUACAGCAAUAAUUGUUACCUAUGAUGCUAUUACAGAUAAAAUGUGAUGGGCAUAGAUAAAAUUAAAUGUUAAUUGGUAUAAUUACCCACUUAAUAUUUUAAGAUUUGUUAUCUGUAUUUCUCUGCUUUUAGUUUAUUAUAUACUGCAGUUCAAUAUGAAGUUUUUUUUUUUAAAGAACUUUCUCUUCAUCUCCACUAAGUUAUUUUUCACUUUGACUUCUCUAGUUAUUAGUCAGAGAUAUAAUAAUAAUUUUUCUUAAAGUGCAGGCUGCAACUGAGAAUUUCCAAAUUUCAGUGACUCAUCUCUGGAGCAGUUAAGUCAUUUAUCCCCAAACCUCAGACUCAGACGUUGUGCCAGGAAGGGGAUUCAGGAUUCCCCAUCCUUGUCACCAAGCAUCAGUACCAUAACCACGUGGGAUGGCUGUCAUUGGCCAGUCAGUGUGAGCUGCUGUAGUGCCUGCAAGAAGGCCUUGGAGAAGGUCUAUAAUUUUCAUUUCCCUCUAACCAGUAGCUCACAUGGUUACUAUGUCAGCAUCAUUGGACACAUCAUGCUGCAAACUUAUGUCCUAUUGCCUAACAGUGUGGCUCAGUGCUAAUCUUUCAAACUUCAGUCAUUUUUAUUCUGCACUAUUAUUCACUUUAUACUUUUCUUUAAAUGACUUAAUGAAUAAGUAUAUUUUUAAAGGAAAACUUUAUAUUACUACUGCAAAGUAGAAACCUGUAUCAUUUGACAAAAUAAAAAUUAAUCAUAAGAUUAAACACAUUGGAGUUUCCAGCCAACCCAGUGAAGUGGCUGCUGAUGCUCAGAUUCUGGAAUAAAAAAGAUCAAAUGUGGGGAAACUAGCUCACUGUUUAAGAGCAAAGGCUGAGACAAACUCUCACUACCAUUUUAUAUAAUGUGUAUAAAAAAAAAUUGACCCCUGUCUGAGGUUAUGGCUCAAAGAAGUGUGUAAAGAUAGACACAGCCUUAUGAAUAGGACUUCAACCAUGCCACCAGCUGACUAGUGUAUCUGAUGUGUGAAUGAAAUAACAAUAGGAACAAAGAAAAAAAACUGAUUAGAAAUCUUGGAAAUAGAAAAUAUGCUAGUGGAAGUAAUAAAACAACUUAAUAAAAUAAAAAUCAGGGCUAGAGAUAUUCAGAGAGAGUAUUAUUAAAUGGGAACAUAUUACUGAAGAUUCACUAGAACAUGACACAGAAAAAAUGUGAAGAUGAGGUAGAAAAGGAAGAAACAAAAAGCAAAAAGAAAGCUCACCUCUUCAGUGAACUUUUUGUAAGUUCCAAGACAAGAAAGAAAAGAAUUGUGGAAAAGCAUUAUAUGAAGAGAGAAUACUUGCAAAUUUUAGCAUGAUGACCUAAGGUUGAAAGUGUGUUGUAAAACGCCAUUCACACACAGCUCUUUGGCUUACACUACCAUUCUCCACCAAAAGGAGCCAGAGCUCCUUAGAAAUGGCUGAUUCAGGGCCUGGGGCAGGAAAUACACGAGAUGAGCCUGAAGUAUCUUGUAUUUCCCAAAAGUAAGAUAAUAAUAGGCUAAACAAACAAAAUACAUUGUGGGAGGUACGUCAAAGAGAUACAGGAGCCAACUGAAAGAGCUCCUAAGGACCAAAGCUGAAACAGCUUGAACAACAAAAUAAAAUAUUGAGCUAUAACCCAAAGAAUACAAAUACCAUGAGUCCAUACUGAUAUAAAUAAAUAAGGAGAUGGAGGAGAAUAGACAAAUCUCCUAUGCCAAAAAUUCUAAAUAACUUACGUAGAUACUUUGCCCUUGAGGAGGAGACUCAGAAAUCCUUAUUACUUAAGCAUGGGUUUCACAGAGUGACUACCUCACAAGGAGAACCGUAUGGAAAGGGAGGGGAAAAAACAAUAACUUCAUAGGGAGAAACCUGACCAACAUUACCUCAAGUCAGGUGAUCAAGGUUAAUAUCAACAGUAAUAAGUCAUACUGAGAGUAUGUACCCUCACUAUGAUGUGAUGAGAAUGGCCCUCCACUGAGUGAUCUUCCAAAAAACACAUUAUUCCAGGAUAAUUAUGGGGAAAACAUUAGACAAAUCCCCUUUUGAGAUACAUUCUAUAAAAUUCCUGACCAGUAAUCUUCAAAAUUAUGGAGGUCAUCAAAAAUGAGAAAAGCCGAAGAAACUGUCACAACCAAAAGGAACCUAAGGAGACAUAAGAGAGCAUGUAAUGUGCUAUCCUGGUGCAGAGAAAAAAGGGCAUUAGGGAAACUUGAGAGAAUAGCCAUAUAGUUUGGACUUUAGUUAAUAAUAAUGUAGCAACACUGUUCAUUAACUGGGGACAAAUGUACCAUAAUAAUGCAAGAUAUUCAUAAUUGAGGAAACUGAGUGUGGGGUAUUUGGAAACUCUGUACCAUCUUCUCAAUAACUCUAUACAUAGAAAACUGUCCUAAAAUUAAGUUUCUUGUUUUUAAAAGUGCAAGUGACCAAGCAAGGCUAAACAGAGACUCACUGGAAUUGGAAUAAAAUAUAGAACAUCAAGGAUAAUGAGACCAUUCUAACAGCAGCCAGACUAAAAAGACAGUUUACCUACAACUAUAACUAAGGUACAGUUAAACUUAUUUAAUCAGCAGUAAUAGAAGCCACAUAACUGUGGAGAUAAAUCAUAAAAGCACUGAGAGAAAACAAAAUAACAGUCAACUUAGAGUUUUAUACCCAUAUAAACCAUUAUCAAAGGCAAAAUGAAGCCAUUUUCAACAUAAUAUUUACUAUUUACAUAUCUUAAUUAAACUAACAAAAGAUGCACAUGAAGAAAGAUAAUUUUGAAGAAUAAUUUAGUUGGAGGUGGAGGAUCUAUACUUCCAGAUUUCAAAAUUUAUUAUAAAAUUGCUCUAUGUUAAAAAAAAAAGAUGAAUUUUUAUACCAGAAUACACCUCAAGUUCAAAGUCUCAGUAUUGCUGGAAGGCCAAUGGAACAGAUUAGGAUCUAAA
Long non-coding RNA from Manis pentadactyla (Chinese pangolin), 10094 nucleotides. RefSeq lists it as uncharacterized. NCBI's taxonomy places the organism in Eukaryota, Metazoa, Chordata, Mammalia, Pholidota, Manidae. The transcript is spliced from 4 exons. The record is from RefSeq and is a predicted model, not a curated record.